AAGAAUUCUAUUCUGCAAUCCAUAAUCGACAGAGAAGGAAGCAAAUUGGAAAAGAAGAUGCGACUUUCUCCCGCCAUUCCGUUACAGCAGAAGAUGCAGACUCUCCAGAAAGGAUCCCCAUCGACCACAACCGACAAACACCAGCAAUGCGCUUGCGCUGUGGACGCUGACAGAACACAUGCACGGGUCACAAUGGUGAGGGAGGCACGGUCUCUAAAUAUAGCUUUCUCUCGGAGUAAACUGAGCCCGACUCGACAGAUUUGGUUGUGGCACGUGUACUCAUUACACUCCCCGUUUAUGGAGGGGUAUUCGAUGCUGUCUGUGCUACCCACCUGCAAGGGCGAAGGGGGGUGACGUGCAUCCACUUUAUUUGGCACGUUAUGAACUCAGACACCUGAAUGCCAGUAGAGGAGACUCUCCAAGCCUGUCUACUCCUUUAAUCCUCCAGACAUCCGCUAGCCAUUGGCGAUUGCUGCAUUGCAUCACGGGAUUUUACCAACAAGUGGACUGCUCCGCAUCUCGGAUAAUGUAAAGACCUUGCUUAUGUUUCCAGCCAUGUUUGGUAUAACAGCACAUGGUAUAGCGAUUUUGGUAAGUCAGGAUCCUUUCCAGACUAAUAGAUAGUGUUUUUAACGUUAUUCUCAUCUUCGGAUUUUUCCGCAUAAUGGCCCGGUCGCGCUUGAAAAAACUAAGAGGUAGUGGACGCGGAGGAGGAAGCGCAAAACAGAAAAAUGAUUGACCUCUGUAACCGGAGAAGUGUCGAGAAACAAAACUAGACGCCAUUUUCUUAACAUCAGUCGAGAGUGAUUUGUUACUGUAACAAAUACACGUAUUCCGGAGUACGUUUUUACAAUCCGGAACAGUAAUUUAAUUUAUAAUCUGUCAUCCUUUAAAAACUAAAGGGUAGCCAAUGUUUGCAACGCAAUAUAUAUAUAUAUAUAUACAUACACCGUUUCUCGUUUUGUUACCGAAAUAACACGCCAC
This 984-nucleotide long non-coding RNA is filed under the name Androctonus crassicauda. The record is from RNAcentral. Lineage: Eukaryota; Metazoa; Arthropoda; Arachnida; Scorpiones; Buthidae.